RNAcentral lists this ribosomal RNA (347 nucleotides) under uncultured bacterium. RNAcentral describes it as "partial 16S ribosomal RNA". It matches the Rfam family "Bacterial small subunit ribosomal RNA", at positions 338 to 677 of the family's 1533-position model. The record is from RNAcentral.
CCUACGGGAGGCAGCAGUGGGGAAUAUUGCGCAAUGGGCGAAAGCCUGACGCAGCGACGCCGCGUGAGGGAUGAAGGUCUUCGGAUCGUAAACCUCUGUAAGCAGGGAAGAACGGUCACUGUGCUAAGCAGCCGUGCAUGGACGGUACCUGCAAAGGCAGCACCGGCUAACUCGGUGCAAGCAGCCGCGGUAAUACGGAGGGUGCGAGCGUUAAUCGGAAUUACUGGGCGUCAAGCGCCCGUAGGCGGGAUGUCAAGUCAAGGGUGAAAUCCCCGCGAUCAAGGUGGGAACUGCCUUUGAAACUGGCAAACUGGAGUGUGUGAGAGGAUAGUGGAAUUCCAGGUGUA